AUUUGGUUCUUCUUCUGAAAGAAUAUUAAGAGGAGAAAUGUAAUGCAGGUGCUCUGAAUCCAUUUCUGGAGCACUUAUUUUCCCACUAACUGUGAGUCUUGGCACUGUGAUUCCCAUGGAUUUAUGACCCUCCUUGCCCAUCCUCAGACUCCAGAGAAUAAGUGGUGACUGCUUCCAGAGCCUACUGGGGACAUGAUGCAGAAUGAUGCUGCUGAUGUAAUACCCUCAGAAGCUCAGACUUACAGCAAGGAAGACUAUAGAAUGCCUUUCAGGAUGUGAAGAAGGGACUGUGCUAUGAAGGUACAAAAGAAGGACUCGUUAGCACUCAGCCUCUACAUGUACUCUGCGACAAGAUGUGGCAAAGCUCAGUCCUCAAUCCUUCCUGUGAUCAGAUCCCUGGGUUUAUGCAACAGAAGAUUUAAGUGGACGCACAGGAUUGCCAGGCUGCUUCAGGAUCUGCAGGAGUACCUGUCUGUGCCUAAAAUUCCUAAUCCUGCCUGACUCAGAGCAUAACAGUUUUUCCACUGCAUUCAUCCCCAUGGUCAUCUUUAUAGUGCAAAAAUAACCCAGAGCUUGACUAGCUUAAAGUCUUGCUUGUGAUUUAUUAAGCAGUAUGAAUUCAGUGGGGAAAACAGGGAUGGCCACAUCCAGGAGGGACCAUCACGAGGGGAUUUGCAGGGUCUGUGAUGGUGGGACAUGGUAGAACCAGAAAUUAAGAUGAGUUCAAAACGUAGAUCCACCUCCUCACAAACUGUUGCUAGUAAGUUUUUUCUCUUUUCAUGAGAUUCUGGUGUUGAUGGGAAAAAUGUAGAGGAAAAUUUCCCAGCAGAACAGAUGAAAAUGUGAUAAUCCAUCAUGACCUAUUUUUAUAAGAUUAUGGAAUUGCAUGAAUCACUGUGUAUUUCAUAACGGCAGGAGCAUAAAAAUGCCUAGAUAGAUACAGCUGGGACAGCCAAGUCAGAAGGUGAGUCUAGGACACCUUCCUCCAUCUCUUCCCUUUUGUUUCUUUUAGAAAGGGAGAAUUUUACUGAAAUCUCCUGGAGAGCAUCCUAACGUCACCUGAACUUCAAGGUCCAUCAGUGUUACAAGGAUUGAACUCCCCACUCUGUCCCCAGGGGGCACCUGUUGAGACGGGAUACUGGGGGUCAUCAGUGGGAGACACGGAGGGCAAUUCUAGGAUGUGGAGCAUCUCCCUUCUUAUUUAUGUCACUACACCACACAAUUUUCUGUUUUUUCCCCAGUGUCCUAGAAGAGCUAUUUUUGAAGCUGCACUGGAAAACAAAACACUAAAAUGUUGGAGAUUUUUUAAAUGAUCCUUUUAGAAAUCAUUAUUAUUAUUAUGAACCUAAAAGGGGAGGGAAAAGAGGGAAACAUUUUAAGCUACCUUCUCUGCUGGAGAGGCAGUGAUGCCAGACCAUCACCCUUUUCAUGUGAGAAACAGAAAGCACAGCAGCAUCUCUGUAAGGUACCUGGUUCUUGUGGCUCUUUAACAGAGCUAAG
Numida meleagris (helmeted guineafowl) is the source of this 1500-nucleotide long non-coding RNA. NCBI's taxonomy places the organism in Eukaryota, Metazoa, Chordata, Aves, Galliformes, Numididae. The record is from Ensembl.